Long non-coding RNA from Etheostoma spectabile (orangethroat darter), 101 nucleotides. RefSeq lists it as uncharacterized. Lineage: Eukaryota; Metazoa; Chordata; Actinopteri; Perciformes; Percidae. The transcript is spliced from 3 exons. The record is from RefSeq and is a predicted model, not a curated record.
UUGAACUUACACUUUUCCCUGUUUGAAGACCACAGAAAAUAAGAGUUUACUUGCACAAUGUAACAUGCAAAUAAUCAUUUUUCUGGAUUACUCUUUUUUUU